This 370-nucleotide ribosomal RNA is filed under the name Schistosoma mansoni. RNAcentral's name for it is "partial 16S ribosomal RNA". The stretch from base 14 to 300 matches the Rfam family "Bacterial large subunit ribosomal RNA", at positions 2072 to 2648 of the family's 2925-position model. The record is from RNAcentral. Lineage: Eukaryota; Metazoa; Platyhelminthes; Trematoda; Strigeidida; Schistosomatidae.
AACCCAUUGUUACAUUAUUAGACGGAAAGACCCCAAGAGCUUUUUUUGUGUUAGAUUUGUUUGGGGUAAAUGUAGAUUAUUCAUUUAUUUUCAGAUCCUUCGUAGAUAAAGGAUAAAGUUACCUUGGGGAUAACUGAGUAAAGGGCAGGGAGAGGUCCUAUUGAUCUGUUUAUUACUACCUCGAUGUUGGCUUGUUGAACCUUUUCGGUGUAGAGGCUGGAAAAGGAAGUCUGUUCGACUUUUAAAUCUUCAUGAGUUGAGUUAAGACCGGUGUAAGCCAGGUUGGUUCUUAUCUAUAAUUGGUUCUAAUUAGUACGAAAGGAUUAUUAGGAUACAGUGUUUCUGUACAUAUAGGAAUAGGAGGUAUACA